GCGACUAAGCGUACACGGUGGAUGCCCUGGCAGUCAGAGGCGAUGAAGGGCGUGCUAAUCUGCGAUAAGCGCCGGUAAGGUGAUAUGAACCGUUAUAACCGGCGAUACCCGAAUGGGGAAACCCAGUGUGAUUCGUCACACUAUCAUUAACUGAAUCCAUAGGUUAAUGAGGCGAACCGGGGGAACUGAAACAUCUAAGUACCCCGAGGAAAAGAAAUCAACCGAGAUUCCCCCAGUAGCGGCGAGCGAACGGGGAGGAGCCCAGAGCCUGAAUCAGCAUGUGUGUUAGUGGAAGCGUCUGGAAAGGCGCGCGAUACAGGGUGACAGCCCCGUACACAAAAGCGCAUGUGCUGUGAGCUCGAUGAGUAGGGCGGGACACGUGGUAUCCUGUCUGAAUAUGGGGGGACCAUCCUCCAAGGCUAAAUACUCCUGACUGACCGAUAGUGAACCAGUACCGUGAGGGAAAGGCGAAAAGAACCCCGGCGAGGGGAGUGAAAAAGAACCUGAAACCGUGUACGUACAAGCAGUGGGAGCACCCUUUGGGUGUGACUGCGUACCUUUUGUAUAAUGGGUCAGCGACUUAUAUUCUGUAGCAAGGUUAACCGAAUAGGGGAGCCGGAGGGAAACCGAGUCUUAAUUGGGCGUUAAGUUGCAGGGUAUAGACCCGAAACCCGGUGAUCUAGCCAUGGGC
Molecule: ribosomal RNA, 691 nt
Filed under: Salmonella enterica subsp. enterica serovar Enteritidis
Lineage: Bacteria; Pseudomonadati; Pseudomonadota; Gammaproteobacteria; Enterobacterales; Enterobacteriaceae
Description: partial 23S ribosomal RNA
Rfam family: Bacterial large subunit ribosomal RNA
Source: RNAcentral